AUGGCGUGCAGCUCGGGCACAUCUGGUGGCAAGCAGAAGAUCUUCCCGUCCACCGCCGAGGAGCUCGACCGGAAGCUCUUCUUCUAUGGUGUCCAGGCACUCGUGAGGAACAUGCAUUUACAUGCUGACCAGGAGAGCAAGCGCGGCAUGGGGAUGCGCCUCACCCUCACCUUCCCCGUCGAACACACGCCGUCCGGCCUUCAGGUCCAGGCGGCCACCACCGCCUAUUACUGCAGCAGCCAGUUCCAGGACCACGAGGUGGGCGGGUUCGACCGGUGCACCAGCCCCAUGGAGGCCAUCCUCUGCCCGGACGCCGAGCAGAGCAUGUACUGCCAGCUGCUCUGCGGCCUGCUCAACCGCGACUCCGUGAACCACGUCGGCACCUCCUUCGCCAACAGCUUCGUCCGAGCCAUCAAGUUCCUGGAGCAAAACUGGGAGGAGAUGUGCUCCGACAUCCGCACCGGCAGCCUCAGCCCUGGGACGGUAUUGUCACCAGGCUAUGGCCGCGGGCACGGUGUGCCCUCACCAUAG
RNAcentral lists this ribosomal RNA (531 nucleotides) under Triticum aestivum (bread wheat). Its description in RNAcentral is "partial small subunit ribosomal RNA". The record is from RNAcentral. Lineage: Eukaryota; Viridiplantae; Streptophyta; Magnoliopsida; Poales; Poaceae.